RNAcentral lists this ribosomal RNA (328 nucleotides) under uncultured eukaryote. RNAcentral's name for it is "partial 18S ribosomal RNA". It matches the Rfam family "Eukaryotic small subunit ribosomal RNA", at positions 1470 to 1796 of the family's 1831-position model. The record is from RNAcentral.
CCCUUAGAUGUCCGGGGCUGCACGCGCGCUACACUGAAGGAAUCAGCGUGCUAAAACCAUUGUCGAAAGGCAUUGGUAAACCCAUUAAAAUCCUACGUGAUUGGGAUCGGGAAUUGCAAUUAUUUCCCUUGAACGAGGAAUUCCCAGUAAGUGUGGGUCAUAAGCUCGCGUUGAUUUCGUCCCUGCCCUUUGUACACACCGCCCGUCGCUGCCCGGGACUGAGCCGUUUCGAGAAAAGCGGGGACUGCUGCUGUCGGGGCUUUCGGGCCUUGGCUUCGGUGGAAACCGCUUUAAUCGCAGUGGCUUGAACCGGGCAAAANUCGUAACA